GCCUCAAAACUUGGAAAUAAAGCUUGAUUUCAUCUUCCAAGUGGUGAAGUAUUGAAGGUUUAAAAUAGUGAUAUUGUGUUGCUCUUCAUCCACACGGGUUUACCAUUAUUUGGUCCUCUAUCUUGCCUCUUGAAAGAGGCUAAGAGUUUAAGGUAAUGAUGAAAAGGCUGGGGAGCAAGGCAUUACUGGAGAGAGAGAG
Juglans microcarpa x Juglans regia is the source of this 199-nucleotide long non-coding RNA. RefSeq lists it as uncharacterized. The record is from RefSeq and is a predicted model, not a curated record. The transcript has 3 exons. NCBI's taxonomy places the organism in Eukaryota, Viridiplantae, Streptophyta, Magnoliopsida, Fagales, Juglandaceae.